UGAGGAACAUGACCUUCGGCGGGGGAGUAGCCGGCCCAACGGCCGGGUAAUACCGCGUACGACCACAUGGGGACAUCCCCGAGUGGUGAAAGCAGCAAUGCGCCGAUGGAGUGCCUCGCGGCCUAUCAGCUAGUUGGUGAGGUAACGGCUCACCAAGGCGACGACGGGUAGCUGGUCUGAGAGGAUGGCCAGCCACAUUGGGACUGAGACACGGCCCAGACUCCUAGGAGG
Molecule: ribosomal RNA, 231 nt
Filed under: uncultured bacterium
Lineage: Bacteria
Description: partial 16S ribosomal RNA
Rfam family: Bacterial small subunit ribosomal RNA
Source: RNAcentral